UACCACGGUUUAAGAUAGUAUACUAUCUUAAAUCGUGGUUAGUACGAAGUCUGUGCAUCACGGUCGUUAGCCACAAGUCCCACACUCCCACAUCCGUGGUCUGAAUGUCUAAUGGAUUUUUUGUUGAGUGGGUGACUCGGUAUUUUACCUAUUUUAUUGUUCGGAAGUUAGGUUAGGGUCAUAACUUUUUUAUUUAGAUUUCAAAUAGAUACGUUGCGCCGCGUCUUUUUUUGUUCUGUUUAGUGUUUCUGUAGCUUUUUUUUCCAUGUAUACACGAGGGCCAUACUGUUUGCACAUUGCUUGACUCCCAUGCAGCAUAGUGUUUCUGUAGCUGACAGCUAAUAACUAUACAAAAGUGACGGCUGUAAUAUGGCUGCACUCGCCUAUACUGGAUCUACUACGGCUAUAGUCGUAAACUCGUAAGUUUUUUAAUUGCAAAUUAGUUUAUGUGUGAUUCGCAGUUCAUGUCUGAUGGUUGUUCCUUUAUUCUGUAUUCCUGCAGCUAGUCAUCCAAUUGAUUUCAUACACUCUACAAAUAGUUGCACAGCUCAAAUAUAAACUAAAAUAAAAAUAAUUGAUUAUGAUUUAAAACCAGCCCACAAAUUGCAACAACGUCAAGGAUCAACUACACUCACUCUACAUGAUGUGAUUUAAAUGAACACAUUUGUUAUUAGUUAUGAAUGUAUCAUAUGCAUGGUCUUGUUCCUGUGGAAAUUCUAAUGUAAUUUUUGCUAAAUUUUAAAAACUCAUUAGUUUUCAUAAAAUGUAUACAGGAUUGGACCAUGCAUAUAAAAUAUUUAUAAUAAAUAAGCAUCAACUUCAAGUCAACAAAAUAGUAUUCA
Long non-coding RNA from Aphis gossypii (cotton aphid), 842 nucleotides. RefSeq lists it as uncharacterized. The transcript has 3 exons. NCBI's taxonomy places the organism in Eukaryota, Metazoa, Arthropoda, Insecta, Hemiptera, Aphididae. The record is from RefSeq and is a predicted model, not a curated record.